GGUUAAGCGACUAAGCGUACACGGUGGAUGCCCUGGCAGUCAGAGGCGAUGAAGGACGUGCUAAUCUGCGAUAAGCGCCGGUAAGGUGAUAUGAACCGUUAUAACCGGCGAUUUCCGAAUGGGGAAACCCAGUGUGAUUCGUCACACUAUCAUUAACUGAAUCCAUAGGUUAAUGAGGCGAACCGGGGGAACUGAAACAUCUAAGUACCCCGAGGAAAAGAAAUCAACCGAGAUUCCCCCAGUAGCGGCGAGCGAACGGGGAGGAGCCCAGAGCCUGAAUCAGCAUGUGUGUUAGUGGAAGCGUCUGGAAAGGCGCGCGAUACAGGGUGACAGCCCCGUACACAAAAGCGCAUGUGCUGUGAGCUCGAUGAGUAGGGCGGGACACGUGGUAUCCUGUCUGAAUAUGGGGGGACCAUCCUCCAAGGCUAAAUACUCCUGACUGACCGAUAGUGAACCAGUACCGUGAGGGAAAGGCGAAAAGAACCCCGGCGAGGGGAGUGAAAAAGAACCUGAAACCGUGUACGUACAAGCAGUGGGAGCACCCUUUGGGGUGUGACUGCGUACCUUUUGUAUAAUGGGUCAGCGACUUAUAUUCUGUAGCAAGGUUAACCGUAUAGGGGAGCCGUAGGGAAACCGAGUCUUAACCGGGCGUUAAGUUGCAGGGUAUAGACCCGAAACCCGGUGAUCUAGCCAUGGGCAGGUUGAAGGUUGGGUAACACUAACUGGAGGACCGAACCGACUAAUGUUGAAAAAUUAGCGGAUGACCUGUGGCUGGGGGUGAAAGGCCAAUCAAACCGGGAGAUAGCUGGUUCUCCCCGAAAGCUAUUUAGGUAGCGCCUCGUGAAUUCAUCUCCGGGGGUAGAGCACUGUUUCGGCUAGGGGGCCAUCCCGGCUUACCAACCCGAUGCAAACUGCGAAUACCGGAGAAUGUUAUCACGGGAGACACACGGCGGGUGCUAACGUCCGUCGUGAAGAGGGAAACAACCCAGACCGCCAGCUAAGGUCCCAAAGUCAUGGUUAAGUGGGAAACGAUGUGGGAAGGCCCAGACAGCCAGGAUGUUGGCUUAGAAGCAGCCAUCAUUUAAAGAAAGCGUAAUAGCUCACUGGUCGAGUCGGCCUGCGCGGAAGAUGUAACGGGGCUAAACCAUGCACCGAAGCUGCGGCAGCGACGCUUAUGCGUUGUUGGGUAGGGGAGCGUUCUGUAAGCCUGCGAAGGUGGCCUGUGAGGGUUGCUGGAGGUAUCAGAAGUGCGAAUGCUGACAUAAGUAACGAUAAAGCGGGUGAAAAGCCCGCUCGCCGGAAGACCAAGGGUUCCUGUCCAACGUUAAUCGGGGCAGGGUGAGUCGACCCCUAAGGCGAGGCCGAAAGGCGUAGUCGAUGGGAAACGGGUUAAUAUUCCCGUACUUGGUGUUACUGCGAAGGGGGGACGGAGAAGGCUAUGUUGGCCGGGCGACGGUUGUCCCGGUUUAAGCGUGUAGGUGUGUGUUCCAGGUAAAUCCGGUUCACUUUAACACUGAGGCGUGACGACGAGGCACUACGGUGCUGAAGCAACAAAUGCCCUGCUUCCAGGAAAAGCCUCUAAGCAUCAGGUAACAUCAAAUCGUACCCCAAACCGACACAGGUGGUCAGGUAGAGAAUACCAAGGCGCUUGAGAGAACUCGGGUGAAGGAACUAGGCAAAAUGGUGCCGUAACUUCGGGAGAAGGCACGCUGACACGUAGGUGAAGUGAUUUACUCAUGGAGCUGAAGUCAGUCGAAGAUACCAGCUGGCUGCAACUGUUUAUUAAAAACACAGCACUGUGCAAACACGAAAGUGGACGUAUACGGUGUGACGCCUGCCCGGUGCCGGAAGGUUAAUUGAUGGGGUCAGCGCAAGCGAAGCUCCUGAUCGAAGCCCCGGUAAACGGCGGCCGUAACUAUAACGGUCCUAAGGUAGCGAAAUUCCUUGUCGGGUAAGUUCCGACCUGCACGAAUGGCGUAAUGAUGGCCAGGCUGUCUCCACCCGAGACUCAGUGAAAUUGAACUCGCUGUGAAGAUGCAGUGUACCCGCGGCAAGACGGAAAGACCCCGUGAACCUUUACUAUAGCUUGACACUGAACAUUGAGCCUUGAUGUGUAGGAUAGGUGGGAGGCUUUGAAGUGUGGACGCCAGUCUGCAUGGAGCCGACCUUGAAAUACCACCCUUUAAUGUUUGAUGUUCUAACGUGGACCCGUAAUCCGGGUUGCGGACAGUGUCUGGUGGGUAGUUUGACUGGGGCGGUCUCCUCCUAAAGAGUAACGGAGGAGCACGAAGGUUGGCUAAUCCUGGUCGGACAUCAGGAGGUUAGUGCAAUGGCAUAAGCCAGCUUGACUGCGAGCGUGACGGCGCGAGCAGGUGCGAAAGCAGGUCAUAGUGAUCCGGUGGUUCUGAAUGGAAGGGCCAUCGCUCAACGGAUAAAAGGUACUCCGGGGAUAACAGGCUGAUACCGCCCAAGAGUUCAUAUCGACGGCGGUGUUUGGCACCUCGAUGUCGGCUCAUCACAUCCUGGGGCUGAAGUAGGUCCCAAGGGUAUGGCUGUUCGCCAUUUAAAGUGGUACGCGAGCUGGGUUUAGAACGUCGUGAGACAGUUCGGUCCCUAUCUGCCGUGGGCGCUGGAGAACUGAGGGGGGCUGCUCCUAGUACGAGAGGACCGGAGUGGACGCAUCACUGGUGUUCGGGUUGUCAUGCCAAUGGCACUGCCCGGUAGCUAAAUGCGGAAGAGAUAAGUGCUGAAAGCAUCUAAGCACGAAACUUGCCCCGAGAUGAGUUCUCCCUGAGACUUAGAGUCUCCUGAAGGAACGUUGAAGACGACGACGUUGAUAGGCCGGGUGUGUAAGCGCAGCGAUGCGUUGAGCUAACCGGUACUAAUGAACCGUGAGGCUUAACCUU
Molecule: ribosomal RNA, 2906 nt
Filed under: Salmonella enterica
Lineage: Bacteria; Pseudomonadati; Pseudomonadota; Gammaproteobacteria; Enterobacterales; Enterobacteriaceae
Description: 23S ribosomal RNA
Rfam family: Bacterial large subunit ribosomal RNA
Source: RNAcentral